AUUACAACAGGUUCCAAUCCCCUCUUUGGCGCUCUUCAAUCGACUGCCUCAAUAUUUGGAGAGUCAAAUGACAUAUGGGUUGAGGGCGAGGGCAUGCUCCAUGCCCUGUACUUCACCAAGAACCCUUCAGCUUCUUGGUCAGUCUCCUAUGCUAAUGGCUAUGUGCAAUCCGAAACAUUGAAGAUUGAACGAGACAGCCAGAAACCAUGCUUUCUCCCUGCCGCCCAGGGGGACUCUGCAGCUGUCAUCUCCGCCUACAUUCUCAACUAUCUAAGGUUUGGCAAGGUGAACAAGAACACCAGCAACACCAAUGUGUUUGAGCAUGCGGGCAAGGUGUACGCUGUUGCUGAGAGUCAUCAGCCCCAGGAAUUCUGCAUACAAAAUCUAGAGACAGGCAAUACAUGGGCUAUCCAUGAGGAAUGGGAUCGACCAUGCACAUCUCACCCAAAGGUAGCUCCAGGGUCAGGGGAGCUUGUCAUCUUUGGUUCAGAUGCAAAGAAGCCUUUCCUAGUUGUUGGGGUUAUCUCAGAUGAUGGAACCAAACUAAAACAUAAAGUUGACCUCGAGCUAGACAGACCUACACUUUGUCAUGACAUAGGAGUCACUAGAAGGUGCAACAUAAUCAUGGAUUUACCACUUACUGUCGACAUCAGCAGACUCACUACAGGUGGUCAGCUAAUCGAAUUUGAGAAGGAAGGUUAUGCAAGAAUUGGGGUUAUGCCCCGCUAUGGCGACGCAGAGUCAGUUGAGUGGUUCGAUGUUGAACCAUGUUGCAUGUUUCAUCUUAUCAACUGCUUUGAGGAGGGUGAUGAGGUUGUUGUCCAGGGACUCUGUUCGGCCGAUUCGGUCAUACCAGGCCCCAGACUAAACAAGCUCGGCGUACUUCCUGAAAGAUCUCAACUUACAGGAGAUGGAAAUAAAAUGAAGCAGGGAAUUAGUGAGAAAUUAUUCUCUCGCUUAUAUGAAUGGAGAUUAAACCGAGAAAAAAAGACUGUCUCAGGAGAAUAUUUGACCGGAAGGGAGUGCUCCUUGGAAUUCCCAAUGAUCAACAACAACUACACAGGCGUGCGUCAUAGUUAUGCCUAUGCACAAAUAGUGGAUUCUAUAACAAGAUCUGGAGAAGGAUGUGGAAAAGUACUCCCAAAAUAUGGAGGGUUUGCAAAAUUAUGCCUCAACGAGAGAGGCAAAAUAACAGAGACCUCAGCCAAAGAUCUGAUAAAGACGGAAAUCCAUCGACUGGGUGAAGAUCAGUUCUGCUCUGGAUCAUCAUUUGUUCCAAGAGUUCAUGGCUUGCAUGAAGAUGAUGGGUGGAUAAUUUCUUUUGUACAUGACGAAGUAACAAAUACAUCACAGGUGCACAUUAUUGACACCCAAAGAUUUGAAGGUGCUCCUGUUGCCAAAAUAACAUUGCCACACAGAGUUCCUUAUGGCUUUCAUGGAACUUUCAUCCAUAGCAACACAGCUGAGAAAGAGAAUAAUGAACAAGCUAGAAACUCGACAUCUUAG
This 1506-nucleotide ribosomal RNA is filed under the name Triticum aestivum (bread wheat). Its description in RNAcentral is "partial small subunit ribosomal RNA". The record is from RNAcentral. Lineage: Eukaryota; Viridiplantae; Streptophyta; Magnoliopsida; Poales; Poaceae.